AGUCGAGGGGCAGCAUUUUAGUUUGCUUGCAAACUAAAGAUGGCGACCGGCGCACGGGUGAGUAACACGUAUCCAACCUGCCGAUAACUCGGGGAUAGCCUUUCGAAAGAAAGAUUAAUAUCCGAUAGUAUAUUAAAACCGCAUGGUUUUACUAUUAAAGAAUUUCGGUUAUCGAUGGGGAUGCGUUCCAUUAGUUUGUUGGCGGGGUAACGGCCCACCAAGACUACGAUGGAUAGGGGUUCUGAGAGGAAGGUCCCCCACAUUGGAACUGAGACACGGUCCAAACUCNUACGGGAGGCAGCAGUGAGGAAUAUUGGUCAAUGGACGAGAGUCUGAACCAGCCAAGUAGCGUGAAGGAUGACUGCCCCUAUGGGUUGUAAACUUCUUUUAUAUGGGAAUAAAGUAUUCCACGUGUGGGAUUUUGUAUGUACCAUAUGAAUAAGGAUCGGCUAACUCCGUGCCAGCAGCCGCGGUAAUACGGAGGAUCCGAGCGUUAUCCGGAUUUAUUGGGUUUAAAGGGAGCGUAGGUGGAUUGUUAAGUCAGUUGUGAAAGUUUGCGGCUCAACCGUAAAAUUGCAGUUGAAACUGGCAGUCUUGAGUACAGUAGAGGUGGGCGGAAUUCGUGGUGUAGCGGUGAAAUGCUUAGAUAUCACGAAGAACUCCGAUUGCGAAGGCAGCUCACUAGACUGCAACUGACACUGAUGCUCGAAAGUGUGGGUAUCAAACAGGAUUAGAUACCCUGGUAGUCCACACAGUAAACGAUGAAUACUCGCUGUUUGCGAUAUACAGUAAGCGGCCAAGCGAAAGCAUUAAGUAUUCCACCUGGGGGAGUACGCCGGCAACGGUGAAACUCAAAGGAAUUGACGGGGGCCCGCACAAGCGGAGGAACAUGUGGUUUAAUUCGAUGAUACGCGAGGAACCUUACCCGGGCUUAAAUUGCAUUUGAAUAAUCUGGAAACAGGUUAGCCGCAAGGCAAAUGUGAAGGUGCUGCAUGGUUGUCGUCAGCUCGUGCCGUGAGGUGUCGGCUUAAGUGCCAUAACGAGCGCAACCCUUAUCUUUAGUUACUAACAGGUCAUGCUGAGAACUCUAGAGAGACUGCCGUCGUAAGAUGUGAGGAAGGUGGGGAUGACGUCAAAUCAGCACGGCCCUUACGUCCGGGGCUACACACGUGUUACAAUGGGGGGUACAGAAGGCAGCUACCUGGCGACAGGAUGCUAAUCCCAAAAACCUCUCUCAGUUCGGAUCGAAGUCUGCAACCCGACUUCGUGAAGCUGGAUUCGCUAGUAAUCGCGCAUCAGCCAUGGCGCGGUGAAUACGUUCCCGGGCCUUGUACACACCGCCCGUCAAGCCAUGAAAGCCGGGGGUACCUGAAGUACGAACCGCAAGGAGCUCCUAGG
This is a ribosomal RNA of 1398 nucleotides. It matches the Rfam family "Bacterial small subunit ribosomal RNA".